GAGUAGUAAAAGUUAAAAUCUUUAAACUCAAAAAAUUUGGCGGUAUUUUAUCUCGUUAGAGGAACCUGUUUAUUAAUUGAUAUUCCACAACUCUAAUUUACCUUUAUUAAAUUAUUUGUAUACCGUCGUCAUGAAUCUACUAAAAAGUAAUUUUCAAGAUUUCUUAUAAAAUUUAUGUUAGAUCAAGGUGCAGUAUUUAAAGGAAAAGAAUGGGUUACAAUAUUUAAUAUGAAUGAAAAUUACUAGAAGAUAGUUAUGGAAAUAGGAUUUAAUAGUAAAUAAAAUUUUAUUAGAGAUUUUUUAUGAAUUUAGAUWCUAAAAUAU
RNAcentral lists this ribosomal RNA (324 nucleotides) under Arytainilla montivaga. RNAcentral describes it as "partial 12S ribosomal RNA". Lineage: Eukaryota; Metazoa; Arthropoda; Insecta; Hemiptera; Psyllidae. The record is from RNAcentral.